UACAGAGGGGGCAAGCGUUGUUCGGAAUUACUGGGCGUAAAGGGCGCGUAGGCGGCCUUCUAAGUCGAACGUGAAAUCCCUGGGCUCAACCCAGGAACUGCGUCCGAUACUGGAAGGCUUGAAUCCGGGAGAGGGACGUGGAAUUCCAGGUGUAGCGGUGAAAUGCGUAGAUAUCUGGAGGAACACCGGUGGCGAAGGCGACGUCCUGGACCGGCAUUGACGCUGAGGCGCGAAAGCCAGGGGAGCAAACGGG
Molecule: ribosomal RNA, 253 nt
Filed under: uncultured bacterium
Lineage: Bacteria
Description: partial 16S ribosomal RNA
Rfam family: Bacterial small subunit ribosomal RNA
Source: RNAcentral